GGAAACGAUAGCUAAUACCGCAUAAUAGUAGAUGUUGCAUGACAUUUGCUUAAAAGGUGCAAUUGCAUCACUACCAGAUGGACCUGCGUUGUAUUAGCUAGUUGGUGAGGUAACGGCUCACCAAGGCGACGAUACAUAGCCGACCUGAGAGGGUGAUCGGCCACACUGGGACUGAGACACGGCCCAG
This 187-nucleotide ribosomal RNA is filed under the name uncultured Streptococcaceae bacterium. RNAcentral's name for it is "partial 16S ribosomal RNA". It matches the Rfam family "Bacterial small subunit ribosomal RNA", at positions 152 to 334 of the family's 1533-position model. Lineage: Bacteria; Bacillati; Bacillota; Bacilli; Lactobacillales; Streptococcaceae. The record is from RNAcentral.